Molecule: ribosomal RNA, 705 nt
Filed under: uncultured bacterium
Lineage: Bacteria
Description: bacterial SSU rRNA
Rfam family: Bacterial small subunit ribosomal RNA
Source: RNAcentral
ACACAUGCAGUCGAGCGGGGAGGUUGCUUCGGUAACUAACCUAGCGGCGGACGGGUGAGUAAUGCUUAGGAAUCUGCCUAUUAGUGGGGGACAACAUUCCGAAAGGAAUGCUAAUACCGCAUACGCCCUACGGGGGAAAGCAGGGGAUCUUCGGACCUUGCGCUAAUAGAUGAGCCUAAGUCGGAUUAGCUAGUUGGUGGGGUAAAGGCCUACCAAGGCGACGAUCUGUAGCGGGUCUGAGAGGAUGAUCCGCCACACUGGGACUGAGACACGGCCCAGACUCCUACGGGAGGCAGCAGUGGGGAAUAUUGGACAAUGGGCGGAAGCCUGAUCCAGCCAUGCCGCGUGUGUGAAGAAGGCCUUUUGGUUGUAAAGCACUUUAAGCGAGGAGGAGGCUCCUUUAGUUAAUACCUAAAGAGAGUGGACGUUACUCGCAGAAUAAGCACCGGCUAACUCUGUGCCAGCAGCCGCGGUAAUACAGAGGGUGCGAGCGUUAAUCGGAUCUACUGGGCGUAAAGCGUGCGUAGGCGGCUUUUUAAGUCGGAUGUGAAAUCCCUGAGCUUAACUUAGGAAUUGCAUUCGAUACUGGAAAGCUAGAGUAUGGGAGAGGAUGGUAGAAUUCCAGGUGUAGCGGUGAAAUGCGUAGAGAUCUGGAGGAAUACCGAUGGCGAAAGGCAGCCAUCUGGCCUAAUACUGACGCUGAGG